Molecule: non-coding RNA, 283 nt
Organism: Pantherophis guttatus
Lineage: Eukaryota; Metazoa; Chordata; Lepidosauria; Squamata; Colubridae
Source: RefSeq, a predicted model, not a curated record
CCGUGAGAGAAGCGAGCUGCAUGAAAGCAAGUUUUCUUUAUUUUUCAGGAAGUCAGAUCAAGCGAAGUCAUGGACCAGCAUUCCUAGGUGAGCUGACAUCGUUACAAGGUACAAUUGCUGAAAUGGACUGUGGCAUAUAAAGACAUAUAAAAAUAACAACACCCCUUCAUUAUAUUUAUGUUGCAUUCAAUUUUGGAACUACCACAAUCAUACCAGUAAUAUCAGAAACAUCAGCAAGAAAUUCACAAGAUGGGUCAUCUACCAAUAAAUUACUUCUAAAUGA